CGCUCUUUGUAAAUUAAAGAUAAAGAGUAGUGCCUGCCCAGUGAAAUUUUAAACGGCCGCAGUACCCUGACUGUGCUAAGGUAGCAUAAUCACUUGUUUUUUAAUUGAAAGCUAGUAUGAAUGGCUUGACGAAACAAAACUGUCUCUUUUAUAUUAUUUAGAAAUUAAUUAUUGGGUGAAGAAGCCCAACUAAUUUCAAAAGACGAAAAGACCCUAUCGAGCUUUAAAAAUAUAAUUAAAUUAAAUUUAUAGUAAAAUAUGUUUUAAUUAACUUUUUUUAUUGGGGCGAUAAAAGAACAUAAAAAGCUUCUUUUUAUUUAUUAAAUUGGUAAAUUUAUUGAUCCAUAAAAUUAUGAAUAGAAGAAAAAGCUACCGUAGGGAUAACAGCGUUAUUUUUUUAAAGAGUUCUAAUCGAAGAAAAAGUUUGCGACCUCGAUGUUGGAUUAGAGUAAUUCUUAAGUGCAGCAGCCUAAAGAGUGGGUCUGUUCGACCCUUAAAUCUCU
This 503-nucleotide ribosomal RNA is filed under the name Placiphorella sp. A II-2014. Its description in RNAcentral is "partial 16S ribosomal RNA". It matches the Rfam family "Bacterial large subunit ribosomal RNA", at positions 1817 to 2597 of the family's 2925-position model. Lineage: Eukaryota; Metazoa; Mollusca; Polyplacophora; Chitonida; Mopaliidae. The record is from RNAcentral.